UUUUGCUUCCUGUUGUAGAUGCCAUUGUAGCACGUGUGUAGCCCAACACGUAAGGGCCAUGAGGACUUGACGUCAUCCCCACCUUCCUCCAGCUUAUCACUGGCAGUUCUUUCAGAGUGCCCAACUUAAUGAUGGCAACUAAAAGUGAGGGUUGCGCUCGUUGCGGGACUUAACCCAACAUCUCACGACACGAGCUGACGACAGCCAUGCAGCACCUGUGUUUCGUCCGGCCGAACCGAAAACUCUAAUCUCUUAGAGUCGCGACGAACAUGUCAAGUGUUGGUAAGGUUCUGCGCGUAUCUUCGAAUUAAACCACAUGCUCCACUACUUGUGCGGGUCCCCGUCAAUUCAUUUGAGUUUUAACCUUGCGGUCGUACUCCCCAGGCGGUGUGUUUAUCGGUUUCCCUGCGACACUGAAAAUAAAUUUCCAACGUCUAACACACAUCGUUUACGGCAUGGACUACGAGGGUAUCUAAUCCUCUUCGCUACCCAUGCUUUCGUUCCUCAGUGUCAGUAAUGAUCCAGAAAGCUGCCUUCGCAAUUGGUAUUCUUUCUAAUAUCUACGAAUUUCACCUCUACACUAGAAAUUCUGCUUUCCUCUAUCAUACUCUAGCUGAAAAGUUUUGAUGGCAGUUCCAGAGUUAAGCUCUGGGAUUUCACCACCAACUUUUUCAACCACCUACGAACUCUUUAAGCCCAGUAAUUCCGAACUACGCUAGGUCCCUUCGUAUUACCGCGGCUGCUGGCACGAAGUUAGCCGGACCUUCUUAUUCGGGUACAGUCAUUUUCUUCCCCGACGAAAGAGCUUUACAACCCAAAGGCCUUCUUCACU
This 832-nucleotide ribosomal RNA is filed under the name uncultured bacterium. RNAcentral describes it as "partial 16S ribosomal RNA". The record is from RNAcentral.